GCUACUGUAGCUCAGCUGGUAGAGCAACUGAUUCGUAAUCAGUAGGUCGCAAGUUCAAACCUUGUCAGUAGCUCCA
This 76-nucleotide transfer RNA is filed under the name Phascolarctobacterium succinatutens. RNAcentral describes it as "tRNA-Thr". It matches the Rfam family "tRNA". From Rfam's summary of the family: Transfer RNA (tRNA) molecules are approximately 80 nucleotides in length. The record is from RNAcentral. Lineage: Bacteria; Bacillati; Bacillota; Negativicutes; Acidaminococcales; Acidaminococcaceae.